Capsicum annuum is the source of this 1340-nucleotide long non-coding RNA. RefSeq lists it as uncharacterized. The transcript is spliced from 2 exons. Lineage: Eukaryota; Viridiplantae; Streptophyta; Magnoliopsida; Solanales; Solanaceae. The record is from RefSeq and is a predicted model, not a curated record.
AGAUAACCCCCAGAUGGACCGACCUAUUGUACAAGAAUUUUUUGACUUGUGCAUGCGAAUAUGGGGUAAUCAGGAUUGUAGACACGUAAUUUUGUCCCUCCCCGAUAUCACUUUUACUCAUUUUACUUUAUCCUAUCGUGUACCCUCGACCAUGUAAUUAUCCCUCCAUCAAAUGACAAAAAAUAACAACCCCUAACUAAUUUUAUUCUUAUCCUAACAACCUAACCCAUACACCACGUCCCCAACCCGUCAUGUUCCUUUUCAUUUCAUUGAACCAAAUCACAAAAAAUUUGUCAUCUAGUGGGACCACCAAAAGAUUCCCUUUCUUUUAUCUUUUCCCAAUUUCACAAAGGUAUUAACCAUAUAUAUAUACACUACACGCUACAUUCAGAAAGGGGGGACCCAUAUACUCCCAUUUUGGAAUUGUUCCUUUACAGGAUAUCAUAUAUACAAACAAUACAGACCAGAAAAGGUGGGGAUCAUCAAGACAGAGAAAGACCUCUUGCCAUUUUUUGAACACUCCAUUUUUGGUUCUUUUCUUCAUCUGGGAAAAUUCCACGAUACACACAGAGACACAAUCGUCUUCUGAACAAUUCACGUGCGGAAUCGAGGAGAGAGGGAACCAAGAGAGAAAAGGGGUAGAUGGAGUUAAGGGAGAAAAGACAACUCAGUGUUCUGGUUACUGUUUCGCCGACGGUUUUGCCCGAAAUGUGUCGGAACCUACCAAAUCUGAUCGAAAUUACCAGAAAAAAAGGCUAUUGGUUGACAUCUGAACUUCUAAUCCACUAAUACCCCAAGAUCAGCGUCAGAUAAGUCCGUUAAUCACCCUUUUCUGACGAAUCUUUGCCGGAAAGAACAUUUUUCUCGGUUGUCUAUUGUUCUGUUUCAGCAAACUAUUGUUGAACAGGCAAAAUUCCUAAGACCAGUCUCAUUUCCUUUCUCGGGUAUUCGCGGGGACUGUCUCGGGGUUGUUCGGUCUUCUUUUUGGGUUUUGAUCAAGUUGGAGUUGGUUCGAUUUGAAGUUUCGAAUCAAGGUUUUGGAUGCGGAUUCUACCGGAUUUAAUCAAAUAAUACAUCGAGUUUGAAAGCGACAUUUUGAGGGGAAUGCCCUGAGGUAUUUGUGUUUAUUCUGGGGAAUUCCCCAUGGUAUUUUGUACUCGGAGGAUGCCUGUGACGAAGGCCAAGGCGGCAGGUGGAGAAAGCAAUGGAGCACAGUUUAGGAUUAGCGUAGAAUAGAGUAGGUUUAUAUUUCUGAAUUUUCUUUUAUUUUGGGACUAUAUAAUUGGACUGGACUUUAUAUUUUUUGGGAUUCAUUUUGUUUGACAUGUUUGAUUUAUUGU